CAGCGCCACAAGUGGCAAUCACGUUUAUUGGGCCUAAAGCGUCCGUAGCCGGUUUAGCAAAUCUUUUGUGAAAUCGUCAGGCUUAACUUGACGAAUUGCAGAAGACACUACUAAACUAGGGACUGGGAGGAGUCAGAAGUAUUCUGGGGGGACCGGUAAAAUGGUAUAAUCCCCAGAGGACUACUGAUGGCGAAGGCAUCUGACCAGAACAGAUCCGACGGUGAGGGACGAAAGCCAGGGGAGCAAACCGGAUUAGAGACCCGAGUAGUCC
RNAcentral lists this ribosomal RNA (271 nucleotides) under uncultured archaeon. RNAcentral's name for it is "partial 16S ribosomal RNA". It matches the Rfam family "Archaeal small subunit ribosomal RNA", at positions 477 to 747 of the family's 1478-position model. The record is from RNAcentral.